CUGGAUUAAGAGAGCGAUUUAUCAAUAUUAUUAUUGUCAUCGGUAUUAUUUUUCCAUUUAGGAAGUGAUAUGCAUUGUAGUAAGAUACUAUUUUAUAGUAAUAUUUAUAGUAGUAGUAGUAGCCAAGGUGGUAUUAAAUAUAAAAUUAGUGGUACAAUAUGGGUGGCACAUGUGCAUGUGUUAGUAUCAUCAAAUAACCUUAUUCAAAAUUUGAAUUAUAAUUUAGAUUAAAAGAUAGGUACACGUGCAUGUAGCUCUCAACAAUAAUUUGAGCUUGAUAUGGUAAGAAAAUUCUCACCUUUGUCAAACUAGUUGACCGAAUCAUAAGGUGAAGUUAUAGAUUUUAGUUAUUCAUUUGAAUAAUUCAAAAAAAAAAAAGCCACGACAUAGGGUUAGUAGGAGGGGUUGAGUUAGUGUUGGACUAUAUAAAUUCAAGUUAUUACUCUCACAUUUAUUCACUCUCAAAAACCAAAACUAGAUAUCAUUCUCUCUCUCUCACUCAAACAACAUUCUGCCGAAGUCACUUCUCUCUAAAUCCCUUAUUUCAAAAUUCUCUUUGUUUCAUUAAGGGCCAACACCAUUACUGCCAAGAUCAUAUAUAUAUUCUCUUUCCCUUAAUGCUAUCCUAUAGUCAUCUUCUUCAAGUUUACUAGUUAUUUCAAGGACCAAAAGUAUUAUCUCAUAUAUAUAGAUAUCUUUCAUCUUAUCGACGUCACCACCUCUAUUUUCACAAUCAAAUUUUAGUGCUCUGCCAGAUUUCCUUUUCAAUUUAAGGUUUUUCGUAAGACCAUUAUUUCUCAAGGAUCACUCUCAUUACAAUCAAGGCUAGAACUCCACAUUCGAGACCAAAGUAACUAAAAGUCUAGAAUGCCGGUGGCGAGUGGAACUUUGGACGCUUGUGUGUGAACUCGCUGAGGACCAUAUAACUGAGGGCGGUCUAGGGCGCUCUAUUUAUUUAUUUACGCUAUUAAGUUUAUGUCGAAAUUAUUUUAGUUAUUAUUUAUUAUGUCUUUUGUACGAAAACUGGCCAGUUGUGAACAUUUUCAAGUAUUAAAUAAAAAUGCGACAUUACGAUU
Cannabis sativa is the source of this 1076-nucleotide long non-coding RNA. RefSeq lists it as uncharacterized. The record is from RefSeq and is a predicted model, not a curated record. The transcript has 3 exons. NCBI's taxonomy places the organism in Eukaryota, Viridiplantae, Streptophyta, Magnoliopsida, Rosales, Cannabaceae.